RNAcentral lists this long non-coding RNA (1467 nucleotides) under Homo sapiens (human). Its description in RNAcentral is "HSALNT0315215". Lineage: Eukaryota; Metazoa; Chordata; Mammalia; Primates; Hominidae. The record is from RNAcentral.
AUUAAUCAGUUGAUCAGGGAAAAUUCCAAAACAAUCAUUAAUGUCUAGAAUCACAGAAGACAUUUCCUCAUGACAAUAUAGUAUUGAGAAGGCAGAAUUGUCUUGUUAAGUUAUAAACUACAGAAGUGGGAAAGUAGCAUCAAUUACAAAUGUAUCCAUUUACUAGAUAAUCUAAAACUUUAUGAUUUUGUAGAGAAACAGCCCAUACUAUUAUUCUGUGUGUUGUUUAUAUGGUUUUGUUUUAAAACAGAAAUGUUUACUGACAGGAUGCUAAAAUUUCUGCUUUUGAAAAUUACCUGCUCUCUCAGGUGGGAAUUCUGGAAAUACUAAGAAGAAAAUUACCUGAAUUUGCCUUGGACAAAUUUUUAUUUGACUCUAAAGCCAUAUACACCAAUAAAUCAACUGACUGGGGGUUCCAAAGGAGGAGUCAAAGCGGCUGUAAUCUUGAUUCGGUUUUAUGGGCAAUAGAAUUAUUUUACUGAUUCCUGGAAUCAUGGCUCCUAUACAUCUGCACUCUAUGAGCACUUUGGAAAUUAAAGGAUUGCCAGCUUUUCCACUUUGGGACAAAAAACAUUUGUGCUAAACAGCCGGAAAAAGCAAAUGCCAGUGUUAAUCAAACCAGCAUGGAAGUUAAUUAGAACCUCAAGAACAAGCGGAUGGGCUUAGCACCUUGGACACAUCAAUAUCUUGUUUCUAAAGAUGACCUCAAAAGAUUGCAUAACAAUAAAGCCCAGCACAAGUCAGAAAGUCAAUCUACUGAGGUCCUACAAUUCUCUUCAUUGACCUGAACAAACUCGACUCUGCUUUUCCCUUAAAUUUCUGUACAGAACCCUGACAACUCGUCUAUACUUUCUGUUAUUGAUUUCCCCCAUGCGCCUAAGUUUCUUAUGACUUCUGGAUUCUCCUUUUGGCUUUGCAGAACACCCCUACUUCCAAACUCUAGAGUAAAAUUCCUGUGAAGACUGAUACCUCAGAAGUGACUGCUUCACAGAUAGACAUCUAAUUUUUUAAUUGAGAUUUCAACUAUUUAACACUUACCGUGUUAACUCAUGACACUCUCCUCCAUUUGCUCAUAAACAACAAAACAAUAACAAAAAUGAAUGCUCACUGAGUGCUACAGAAUGCAAACUAUUAAAGAUACAGAAAUAAUGAAUAGGACUUCUGACCUUGAGUGGUUGGUAAAUAAAACAGAAAUAUAAAAAAUGAAAUAAAUAAUUAGGGUUACUGCCACUAGAGAAACAGAUCACAGGCUACAGAUUACUACUGGCCCUAUGAAGCAGGAAGACAGCACAGGUAUAGCAAGGGACCUUUUAUAUGUAGGUAGAACCUUAUUGUAGGUAAUGGUGAAAGCCAGUGAGCCCUUGCUCUGGGCUGCUCUGGUGAAUUGGCACUCCCUUCACUGUUUCGCUGACUAGACCUCAAGUACCCUCCAUGAGAGACUAGGGAGGCCUUGUGGAGCUGUGUCCU